AUUGAACGCUGGCGGCAUGCCUUACACAUGCAAGUCGAACGGCAGCGGGGGAGAAGCUUGCUUUUCCUGCCGGCGAGUGGCGAACGGGUGAGUAAUACAUCGGAACGUGCCCCGUAGUGGGGGAUAACUAGUCGAAAGAUUAGCUAAUACCGCAUACGACCUGAGGGUGAAAGUGGGGGACCGCAAGGCCUCAUGCUAUAGGAGCGGCCGAUGUCUGAUUAGCUAGUUGGUGGGGUAAAGGCCUACCAAGGCGACGAUAAGUAGCUGGUCUGAGAGGACGAUCAGGCAGACUGGGACAGAGACCCGGCCCAGACUGUUACGGGAGGCAGCAGUAGGGAAUUUUGGGCAAUGAGCGAAAGCCUGAUCCAGCAAUGCCGCGUGUGUGAAGAAGGCCUUCGGGUUGUAAAGCACUUUUGUCCGGAAAGAAAUGGCUCUGGUUAAUACCUGGGGUCGAUGACGGUACCGGAAGAAUAAGGACCGGCUAACUACGUGCCAGCCGCCGCCGUAA
Molecule: ribosomal RNA, 508 nt
Filed under: uncultured bacterium
Lineage: Bacteria
Description: partial 16S ribosomal RNA
Rfam family: Bacterial small subunit ribosomal RNA
Source: RNAcentral